GCACCACAAGGCGUGAAGCGUGCGGUUUAAUUGGAGUCAACACCGGAAACCUUACCGGGGGCGACAGCAGGUUGAAGGCCAGAUUGACGAUCUUGCCAGACAAGCUGAGAGGAGGUGCAUAGCCGUCGCCAGUUCGUGCCGUGAGGUGUCCUGCUAAGUCAGGCAACGAUCGAGACCCACGUUCCCUGUUGCUACCAAAGAAAGUUUCCAAGGGGCACACUGGGAGGACAGCCGCCGAUAAGGCGGAGGAAGGAGUGGGCCACGGCAGGUCAGUAUGCCCCGAAUCCCCCGGGCCACACGCGUGCUGCAAUGGCCGGUACAAUGGGUUCCGACCUCGUGAGAGGAGGGUAAUCCCUAAAGCCGAUCGUAGUUUGGAUCGAGGGCUGCAACCCGCCCUCGUGAAACUGGAAUGCCUAGUAAUCGCGUGUCAUUAACGCGCGGUGAAUACGUCCCUGCUCCUUGCACACACCGCCCGUCGUUCCACUCGAGUGGGUUUUGGGUGAGGCGCGGUCCUUGGUGGCUGUGUCGAGCCUGAGGUUCGCGAGAGGGGAA
RNAcentral lists this ribosomal RNA (552 nucleotides) under uncultured archaeon. RNAcentral's name for it is "bacterial SSU rRNA". It matches the Rfam family "Archaeal small subunit ribosomal RNA", at positions 876 to 1429 of the family's 1478-position model. The record is from RNAcentral.